GACGAACGCUGGCGGCGUGCUUAACACAUGCAAGUCGAACGGUGAACGAGGGAGCUUGCUCCCUCCGGAUCAGUGGCGAACGGGUGAGUAACACGUGAGCAAUCUGCCCCGAACUCUGGGAUAAGCGUUGGAAACGACGUCUAAUACCGGAUACGACGCGGGAGGGCAUCCUCUCCGCGUGGAAAGAACUUCGGUUCGGGAUGAGCUCGCGGCCUAUCAGCUUGUCGGUGAGGUAACGGCUCACCAAGGCGACGACGGGUAGCCGGCCUGAGAGGGUGACCGGCCACACUGGGACUGAGACACGGCCCAGACUCCUACGGGAGGCAGCAGUGGGGAAUAUUGCAUAAUGGGCGCAAGCCUGAUGCAGCAACGCCGCGUGAGGGACGACGGCCUUCGGGUUGUAAACCUCUUUUAGCAGGGAAGAAGCGAAAGUGACGGUACCUGCAGAAAAAGCACCGGCUAACUACGUG
This 470-nucleotide ribosomal RNA is filed under the name uncultured bacterium. RNAcentral describes it as "partial 16S ribosomal RNA". It matches the Rfam family "Bacterial small subunit ribosomal RNA", at positions 28 to 507 of the family's 1533-position model. The record is from RNAcentral.